CCUACGGGAGGCAGCAGUGGGGAAUAUUGGACAAUGGGGGCAACCCUGAUCCAGCCAUGCCGCGUGUGUGAAGAAGGCCCUCGGGUUGUAAAGCACUUUCAGUGAGGAAGAACGCCUGGUGGUUAAUACCCAUCAGGAAAGACAUCACUCACAGCAGAAGCACCGGCUAACUCCGUGCCAGCAGCCGCGGUAAUACGGAGGGUGCGAGCGUUAAUCGGAAUUACUGGGCGUAAAGCGCGCGUAGGUGGCUUGAUAAGCCGGUUGUGAAAGCCCCGGGCUCAACCUGGGAACGGCAUCCGGAACUGUCAAGCUAGAGUGCAGGAGAGGAAGGUAGAAUUCCCGGUGUAGCGGUGAAAUGCGUAGAGAUCGGGAGGAAUACCAGUGGCGAAGGCGGCCUUCUGGACUGACACUGACACUGAGGUGCGAAAGCGUGGGUAGCAAACAGGAUUAGAUACCCUAGUAGUC
This 465-nucleotide ribosomal RNA is filed under the name Vreelandella stevensii. RNAcentral's name for it is "partial 16S ribosomal RNA". It matches the Rfam family "Bacterial small subunit ribosomal RNA", at positions 338 to 795 of the family's 1533-position model. The record is from RNAcentral. Lineage: Bacteria; Pseudomonadati; Pseudomonadota; Gammaproteobacteria; Oceanospirillales; Halomonadaceae.